Molecule: unclassified non-coding RNA, 1532 nt
Filed under: Hevea brasiliensis (rubber tree)
Lineage: Eukaryota; Viridiplantae; Streptophyta; Magnoliopsida; Malpighiales; Euphorbiaceae
Source: RNAcentral
UAAAGCUCUUGAUUCUCUUGCAAAAGUUGAAUUCCAUGAAGAAGAAAAUUCUUGGAAUUUGUUUUGGACACCAGGAGAAGGGCUUCUGCAACAAAUUGAACAGUCUAGUACCAAGUUUCUGGUGGGGAAGAAAAGAUUUGCUGGAUAAGAUGGGAAAAAGCUGCUUGCCCCAAAUUUAUGGGAGGUAUGGGAUUCAAGGACUUUGAGAAGUUUAAUCUAGCUUGUCUGGCGAAGCAAGGGUGGCGCCUCAUGUCUUCUCCACAGUAUUUAUGGGCGAGAGCUAUUAAAGGGAUUUAUUUUCCCUAUUCGAAUUUUUGCAAGCUAGGAAACCAAGAAAGGGGUAUUGGAUAUGGCAUAGUCUUCUGGAAGGGAGAGAAAUUCUCAAGGAAGGUAUUCGACAUAACAUAGGAGAUGGGUGCAGCACAUUCAUUUGGGACAACCCCUGGACCCCGUCCAGCAAUAGCUUCAGAGUUGAGAGACCGAAUCAUUGCCCUCCGAAUAUAAAUAGAGUGGCAGAUUUAAUUGAUCACUCAAAUCUUUCGUGGAAAGAAGACUUGAUUUCAACUUUGUUUAAUCAGGAUAAAGCUCAAAUGAUAGGGGCUAUUCCAGUGGCACCUGUGGGAAAUGAUGAUUCUUUAGUGUGGCACUUUGAGAUGGAAGUUAAUUAUACUGUUAAAUCAGGGUACAAAUUACAAAUGGCGAGAGCAAUGCAAGAUCCUCCUAUCAGACCAUCCAUAUCUCAAUAUAUUCAUCCUUCGAUUUGGAGAUUCCUACGGGGAUUUCAGGUUCCACCCAAGGUGAAAGUUUUUAUGUGGAGAGUUUUACUUGAUGCCCUUCCUGUGAAAAGCAAGUUGUGCAGUAGGGGCAUUGAUGUUAACUCUUAGUGUCCUACAUGUGAGAGAGAUUCUGAAACUAUUGAACACAUUGUUUUGGUGUGAUCAUGCAAGAGCAGCUUGGUUCUUAAGUCCUUGUGCUUUCAAACCCAAUCCUCUUAGUUUUCCAUCAGUUUUUCAGUGGUGGUCCAAUCUAUGUGGUCAGGUGGGAAAUGGCCUUUUCCAAGAGGAAGUGUUAAAUAUGGCAGCAAUCACAUGCUGGCAAAUUUGGAAAGAAAGGAAAAGUGCAGUUUUUGAACAGAGCAAGCCGGAUCCAAUGGCCACCCGAAGGAGAAUUAAUAGUUAAUUAGAAGAGCUGAAGUGGAACCAACGAAUCUCAAAUCCUUUUUACAGUAACGUUGAGCCUCAUCUUGGUGAUCAUAUGCAAAAAUGGUCCCCUCCUUCCAUAGGAAGCCUCAAGCUUAACUGUGAUGUAGCUUGGAAAGAGGGAGCUACUUUUUCCUCCAUAGCUGUGAUGGUAAGAGAUCACUUGGAGAGAAUUGUGGGUGGUAUUGUGAGGAAGCACAAAUGUUUGACCAAUUUAGCAGGUGAAGCAAAGGCUCUUCUAGAAGCAAUCUUGCUAGCAAAAGCAAGAGGUUUUAGAUCAAUCAUAUUAGAAUCAGAUUCUCAAAAAAAUAAUUAUUAAAAAAAUAAUUAAAU